Molecule: ribosomal RNA, 496 nt
Filed under: uncultured bacterium
Lineage: Bacteria
Description: partial 16S ribosomal RNA
Rfam family: Bacterial small subunit ribosomal RNA
Source: RNAcentral
AUGAACGCUGGCGGCGUGCCUAAUACCUGCAAGUCGAGCGAACGGACGAGAAGCUUGCUUCUCUGAUGUUAGCGGCGGACGGGUGAGUAACACGUGGAUAACCUACCUAUAAGACUGGGAUAACUUCGGGAAACCGGAGCUAAUACCGGAUAAUAUUUUGAACCGCCUGGUUCAAAAGUGAAAGACGGUCUUGCUGUCACUUAUAGAUGGAUCCGCGCUGCAUUAGCUAGUUGGUAAGGUAACGGCUUACCAAGGCAACGAUGCAUAGCCGACCUGAGAGGGUGAUCGGCCACACUGGAACUGAGACACGGUCAAGACUCCUACGGGAGGCAGCAGUAGGGAAUCUUCCGCAAUGGGCGAAAGCCUGACGGAGCAACGCCGCGUGAGUGAUGAAGGUCUUCGGAUCGUAAAACUCUGUUAUUAGGGAAGAACAUAUGUGUAAGUAACUGUGCACAUCUUGACGGUACCUAAUCAGAAAGCCACGGCUAACUACGUG